AUACGGAGGAUGCGAGCGUUAUCCGGAUUUAUUGGGUUUAAAGGGAGCGUAGGUGGGAUAUUAAGUCAGCGGUUAAAUCGUGGGGCUCAACCCCAUUCUGCCGUUGAUACUGGGUGGCUUGAUUGCGGUCGAGGUUGGCGGAAUUCGUUGUGUAGCGGUGAAAUGCAUAGAUAUGACGAAGAACACCGAUUGCGUAGGCAGCUGACCAGACCGCAAAUGACGCUCAUGCACGAAAGUGCGGGGAUCGAACAGGAUUAGAUACCCUGGUAGUCCGCACAGUAAACGAUGAAUACUUGUUUUCGGCGAUAUAAUGUCGGAGGCAAAGCGAAAGCGAUAAGUAUUCCACCUGGGGAGUACGCCGGCAACGGUGAAACUCAAAUGAAUUGACGGGG
RNAcentral lists this ribosomal RNA (392 nucleotides) under uncultured bacterium. RNAcentral's name for it is "partial 16S ribosomal RNA". It matches the Rfam family "Bacterial small subunit ribosomal RNA", at positions 523 to 918 of the family's 1533-position model. The record is from RNAcentral.